Molecule: ribosomal RNA, 495 nt
Filed under: uncultured bacterium
Lineage: Bacteria
Description: partial 16S ribosomal RNA
Rfam family: Bacterial small subunit ribosomal RNA
Source: RNAcentral
GACGAACGCUGGCGGCGUGCCUAAUACAUGCAAGUAGAACGCUGAAGGAGGAGCUUGCUUCUCCGGAUGAGUUGCGAACGGGUGAGUAACGCGUAGGUAACCUGCCUGGUAGCGGGGGAUAACUAUUGGAAACGAUAGCUAAUACCGCAUAAGAGUAGAUGUUGCAUGACAUUUGCUUAAAAGGUGCAAUUGCAUCACUACCAGAUGGACCUGCGUUGUAUUAGCUAGUUGGUGAGGUAACGGCUCACCAAGGCGACGAUACAUAGCCGAGCUGAGAGGGUGAUCGGCCACGCUGGGACUGAGACACGGCCCAGACUCCUACGGGAGGCAGCAGUAGGGAAUCUUCGGAAAUGGACGGAAGUCUGGACGAGCAACGCCGCGUGAGUGAAGAAGGUUUUCGGAUCGUAAAGCUCUGUUGUAAGAGAAGAACGAGUGUGAGAGUGGAAAGUUCACACUGUGACGGUAUCUUACCAGAAAGGAACGGCUAACUACGUG